This 276-nucleotide ribosomal RNA is filed under the name Triticum aestivum (bread wheat). RNAcentral describes it as "partial small subunit ribosomal RNA". Lineage: Eukaryota; Viridiplantae; Streptophyta; Magnoliopsida; Poales; Poaceae. The record is from RNAcentral.
AUGUUUCGCUCCCAACAGUGCGUGUUCCUUGGGUAUAGUGCUCAACACAAGGGGGUCAAGUGCCUUGAUGUCUCCUCCGGACGUGUCUACAUCUCUCGCGAUGUAGUCUUUGAUGAGACCAAGUUUCCAUUUUCUGACCUCCACCCAAAUGCCGGUGCCUUGCUUCGCAAAGAAAUUCUUAUUCUCCCAUCCACUCUCACUGCUCUUGAUUCAAGGGAUGAUAAAUGUGUUGACUCUAUGAUGACUAACCCGCUCACUGAAGGAAAUAUGCCCUAG